GACGAACGCUGGCGGCGUGCCUAAUACAUGCAAGUAGAACGCUGAAGAGAGGAGCUUACUCUUCUUGGAUGAGUUGCGAACGGGUGAGUAACGCGUAGGUAACCUGCCUUGUAGCGGGGGAUAACUAUUGGAGACGAUAGCUAAUACCGCAUAACAAUGGAUGACACAUGUCAUUUAUUUGAAAGGGGCAUUGGCCCCACAACAAGAGGAACUUGCGUUGUAUUAGCUGGUAGGUGAGGUAAUGGCUCACCUAGGCGACGAUACAUAGCCGACCUGAGAGGGUGAUCGGCCACACUGGGACUGAGACACGGCCCAGACUCCUACGGGAGGCAGCAGUAGGGAAUCUUCGGCAAUGGGGGCAACCCUGACCGAGCAACGCCGCGUGAGUGAAGAAGGUUUUCGGAUCGUAAAGCUCUGUUGUAAGUCAAGAACGGGUGUGAGAGUGGAAAGUUCACACUGUGACGGUAGCUUACCAGAAAGGGACGGCUAACUACGUG
Molecule: ribosomal RNA, 497 nt
Filed under: uncultured bacterium
Lineage: Bacteria
Description: partial 16S ribosomal RNA
Rfam family: Bacterial small subunit ribosomal RNA
Source: RNAcentral